Molecule: ribosomal RNA, 445 nt
Filed under: uncultured bacterium
Lineage: Bacteria
Description: bacterial SSU rRNA
Rfam family: Bacterial small subunit ribosomal RNA
Source: RNAcentral
GCAUAACGCGAAGAACCUUACCUGGGCUUGAACUGUCGGUAUAGGGACCCGAAAGGGCGACGAUCCCGGGCAACCGGGAAGCCGAUAGAGGUGCUGCAUGGCUGUCGUCAGCUCGUGUCGUGAGAUGUUGGGUUAAGUCCCGCAACGAGCGCAACCCUUGUCUUUAGUUGCCAGCGAGUCAUGUCGGGCACUCUAAGGAGACUGCCUCGGAUAACGAGGAGGAAGGUGGGGAUGACGUCAAGUCAGCAUGGCCUUUAUGUCCAGGGCUACACACGUGCUACAAUGGGCGGCACAGAAGGACGCGAGACCGCGAGGUCAAGCCAACCCUUAAAACCGUUCUCAGUUCGGAUUGCAGGCCGCAAUUCGCCUGCAUGAAGUCGGAAUCGCUAGUAAUCGCGGAUCAGCUACGCCGCGGUGAAUACGUUCUCGGGUCUUGUACACACCG